AAAGGGGCUUCGGCCCUGAGUAGAGUGGCGAACGGGUGAGUAACACGUGGGUGAUCUACCUCUGAGUGGGGGAUAACGUUCCGAAAGGAACGCUAAUACCGCAUGACGUUCCGGGUUUGAAGACCGGGAAACCAAAGUCGGGGACCGCAAGGCCUGACGCUUGGAGAGGAGCCCGCGCCUGAUUAGCUAGUUGGUGAGGUAACGGCUCACCAAGGCAACGAUCAGUAGCCGGCCUGAGAGGGCGGACGGCCACACUGGGACUGAGACACGGCCCAGACUCCUACGGGAGGCAGCAGUGGGGAAUUGUUCGCAAUGGGCGCAAGCCUGACGACGCAACGCCGCGUGGAGGAUGAAGGUCUUCGGAUUGUAAACUCCUGUUGAUCGGGACGAAUGAGCAACGACCUAACACGUCGGAGCAGUGACGGUACCGAUUGAGGAAGCCACGGCUAACUCUGUGCCAGCAGCCGCGGUAAUACAGAGGUGGCAAGCGUUGUUCGGAAUUACUGGGCGUAAAGGGCGCGUAGGCGGCCUUCUAAGUCAGACGUGAAAUCCCCAGGCUUAACUUGGGAACUGCGUCUGAUACUGGGAGGCUUGAGUGCGGGAGAGGGAUGUGGAAUUCCAGGUGUAGCGGUGAAAUGCGUAGAUAUCUGGAGGAACACCGGUGGCGAAGGCGGCAUCCUGGACCGACACUGACGCUGAGGCGCGAAAGCUAGGGGAGCAAACGGGAUUAGAUACCCCGGUAGUCCUAGCCCUAAACGAUGAGUGCUUGGUGUGGCGGGUAUCGAUCCCUGCCGUGCCGAAGCUAACGCAUUAAGCACUCCGCCUGGGGAGUACGGUCGC
Molecule: ribosomal RNA, 840 nt
Filed under: uncultured Acidobacteriota bacterium
Lineage: Bacteria; Pseudomonadati; Acidobacteriota
Description: bacterial SSU rRNA
Rfam family: Bacterial small subunit ribosomal RNA
Source: RNAcentral